RNAcentral lists this ribosomal RNA (186 nucleotides) under Buthacus levyi. RNAcentral's name for it is "partial large subunit ribosomal RNA". It matches the Rfam family "Eukaryotic large subunit ribosomal RNA", at positions 699 to 853 of the family's 3401-position model. The record is from RNAcentral. Lineage: Eukaryota; Metazoa; Arthropoda; Arachnida; Scorpiones; Buthidae.
UCUUGAACAGGCCCAGAGGCGCAAUGAAAGUGAAGGAUGCCCGUGCCGGCAUCUGCGUUGGGAUCCCGGGACCCCGGUCCCGGGCGCACCAACGGCCCGUCCCACCUGCCUCGUCAGCGGGACGGAGCGAGAGCGUACACGUUGGGACCCGAAAGAUGGUGAACUAUGCCUGGGCAGGACGAGGCC